GACGAACGCUGGCGGCGUGCUUAACACAUGCAAGUCGAACGGAAAGGCCCUGCUUGCAGGGUACUCGAGUGGCGAACGGGUGAGUAACACGUGGGUGAUCUGCCCUGCACUUCGGGAUAAGCCUGGGAAACUGGUCUAAUACCGGAUAGGAGCCAUUUUUAGUGUGAUGGUUGGAAAGUUUUUUCGGUGUAGGAUGAGCUCGCGGCCUAUCAGCUUGUUGGUGGGGUAAUGGCCUACCAAGGCGGCGACGGGUAGCCGGCCUGAGAGGGUGGACGGCCACAUUGGGACUGAGAUACGGCCCAGACUCCUACGGGAGGCAGCGGUGGGGAAUAUUGCACAAUGGGCGCAAGCCUGAUGCAGCGACGCCGCGUGGGGGAUGACGGCCUUCGGGUUGUAAACUCCUUUCGCUAGGGACGAAGCUUUUUGUGACGGUACCUAGAUAAGAAGCACCGGCUAACUACGUG
Molecule: ribosomal RNA, 464 nt
Filed under: uncultured bacterium
Lineage: Bacteria
Description: partial 16S ribosomal RNA
Rfam family: Bacterial small subunit ribosomal RNA
Source: RNAcentral